This is a long non-coding RNA of Dermacentor albipictus, 1252 nucleotides long. RefSeq lists it as uncharacterized. The record is from RefSeq and is a predicted model, not a curated record. NCBI's taxonomy places the organism in Eukaryota, Metazoa, Arthropoda, Arachnida, Ixodida, Ixodidae.
CGCCAUGAGCAACGCCAACUUCCGGCUUCACUUUUGCUUCACAAAGAGUGACGUCAGGGCCUCUCCUUAGUUUCCUUCCUCCGUGUCGGGGCUAAUAGACGAGGCAACCUAAAGUUUGCCCGCGCGGCACCAGCGCCGAAUGCUCCCCUAGCGGACCGAUGGAAGUUUCGAGGGUCGUCGCUGCGCAAGCGCGCGCCCGUGUUCUGUACGGCGGGAGCGCUCGUGCACGUGGUUUUUGCGAUGCCGAGUGCGACCUCACCAGCCAGGAAAGGCGGCACGCAAUACUGAUGUGUUGUUGAUUGCCACAGCAGCCUCGAAAACACGAAAGGUCGUACGCCUCCCGUGAAGUUCUACAGAUUUCCGGGGAAGUGGUACGAGAAGGGCAGACGACAAGCAUGGAUAACUGCAGUGCGCCGAGUCAAGUAAGUCUCAUACUUUCGCAUUCGCGUGUAAUAUCUUGAAAGCGGAAUAGUCAUAUGCCUGUUUUUAGUGCACGGCCGUUUGUUUAGUCGUGUCGCGUUGUUGAAUUGUGGUGGCAUCCGUCGUUUGCUAGCGGUAAAUGCAUGCGUGUUGCGCUGCUAAGCUCUACGACGCGUGCUCGAUUCCCAGCCACGGCGGCCGCAUUUCGGUAGGGGCAAAAUGCAAGAACACCCUUGUUACCGUGUGCUUUGAUUGAGCAUAUUACGAGAGCUCAACCAAACCAUAGAGAAAGGGAUUGAACAAGAGCGGACACUCGGCGAAAAUUGGAAACAGGAAACACGUCACGCUAUACUUUUAACAUCGACGAAUUGGGGCCGCGAGCAUCGGGAAAAAGAAGAAUGUGAAAUGAGAUUAACAGAAAUUGUUCUAUUUCUUAUAUUCUUGCGGCUUACUUCCGUUGCCUAGCGACAGGCGAACCGGCGAAUGACGAGCCAGAUGUUUGCGUCAUUCGUCAGACCAAUGGUCAGACACGCCGCCGAAGCGAGAGUGAGCGGCCGCGCAUGUGAGCGUUGGACUGUUCGGGCGCCUGUCUGCCUGUUUUUCUAUUUUGGUAUUUAGCCUGGUUUGGUGGCCUCCCGGCGAAUUAUUGCGUUCAUUCGGAACUUCGACAAGGCAGCACUGCACUAUUGGACUACGGCAAGCUCACACCGUCUGGUGGAGCUUCCUGCGGAAACUACUGCUGCUUACCUGGUGCCACAACGCUGGACGAAUGCACAAAAGCCCGCGACGAGCAUUUACAAAGAAUAAAAUAAACGUUAAUUUUUCCACAUUU